Molecule: long non-coding RNA, 460 nt
Organism: Biomphalaria glabrata
Lineage: Eukaryota; Metazoa; Mollusca; Gastropoda; Planorbidae
Exons: 3
Source: RefSeq, a predicted model, not a curated record
UUUUUUCCUGGCCUUAUUCACCCCUCUCAGCGCUCUCUCGCUAUAUGACUGUGUAGUUAUGAUGUGUGUAGUUUUAGCUAGUGUGUGCUUCAUAGACGUGUGUUUCAAUCCAAAGAGGAAAUCAGAGAGCAAUUGUAGUGUGCUGCUAUUCUUCGUGCUGUCCUGGUCGCUUGAAGUGCUUGUGUUUGAAGUGACACUUGGCAGUCAUAGUGUGUAGAUGAUUUCAGAAGAACAAGAGUGGUGUGGGUGAAUGAAGGUGAAUUUGGUGACGAUGAUCUGUGACUUCGAAGAAACUAUGACAUUCAAAAAUGUGAAUUUGUGUUCAUUCCUGGAAAUAUUACGACUUAAACUAACCUGCAUACUUAAUGAUUGUUUACCAUUAAAGAGGCGGCGUCAAAAUCGCCUUAGAAGAAUAGGAUCUCGCUGAGCCUCAAAUGUGAAGCCCCCCCCCCCCCCCCCA